RNAcentral lists this ribosomal RNA (390 nucleotides) under uncultured bacterium. Its description in RNAcentral is "bacterial SSU rRNA". It matches the Rfam family "Bacterial small subunit ribosomal RNA", at positions 28 to 417 of the family's 1533-position model. The record is from RNAcentral.
GACGAACGCUGGCGGCGUGCUUAACACAUGCAAGUCGAGCGGUAAGGCCCUUUCGGGGGUACACGAGCGGCGAACGGGUGAGUAACACGUGGGUGACCUGCCUCUAGCUCUGGGAUAAGCCUGGGAAGCUGGGUCUAAUACCGGAUAUGACCUCGCGGUGCAUGUUGCGGGGUGGAAAGCCUUGUGCGGCUAGGGGAUGGGCCCGCGGCCUAUCAGCUUGUUGGUGGGGUGANGGCCUACCAAGGCGACGACGGGUAGCCGGCCUGAGAGGGCGACCGGCCACACUGGGACUGAGACACGGCCCAGACUCCUACGGGAGGCAGCAGUGGGGAAUCUUGCGCAAUGGGCGAAAGCCCUGACGCAGCGACGCCGCGUGAGGGAUGACGGCCU